RNAcentral lists this ribosomal RNA (462 nucleotides) under uncultured bacterium. Its description in RNAcentral is "partial 16S ribosomal RNA". It matches the Rfam family "Bacterial small subunit ribosomal RNA", at positions 338 to 795 of the family's 1533-position model. The record is from RNAcentral.
CCUACGGGUGGCAGCAGUGAGGAAUAUUGGUCAAUGGACGCAAGUCUGAACCAGCCAAGUAGCGUGCAGGAUGACGGCCCUCCGGGUUGUAAACUGCUUUUAGUUGGGAAUAAAAGGGGGCUCGUGAGCCCCGUAUUGUAUGUACCAUCAGAAAAAGGACCGGCUAAUUCCGUGCCAGCAGCCGCGGUAAUACGGAAGGUCCGGGCGUUAUCCGGAUUUAUUGGGUUUAAAGGGAGCGUAGGCCGGCUUUUAAGUCAGCUGUGAAAGUCCGCGGCUCAACCGUGGAAUUGCAGUUGAAACUGGAGGCCUUGAGUGCACACAGGGAUGCCGGAAUUCAUGGUGUAGCGGUGAAAUGCUUAGAGAUCAUACAGAACACCGAUUGCGAAGGCAGCUUACCAAGCUACUUCUGACGUUGAGGCACGAAAGCGUGGGGAGCAAACAGGAUUAGAUACCCUGGUAGUC